ACCUACGGGGCGCAGCAGUGAGGAAUAUUGGUCAAUGGGCGCGAGCCUGAACCAGCCAAGUCGCGUGAGGGAGGACGGCCCUACGGGUUGUAAACCUCUUUUGCCGGGGAGCAACGGGCGUCACGUGUGGCGCCACUGAGAGUACCCGGAGAAAAAGCAUCGGCUAACUCCGUGCCAGCAGCCGCGGUAAUACGUAGGGGGCAAGCGUUAUCCGGAUUUACUGGGUGUAAAGGGAGCGUAGACGGCGCGGCAAGUCUGAAGUGAAAGGCAGGGGCUUAACCCCUGAACUGCUUUGGAAACUGCCA
Molecule: ribosomal RNA, 305 nt
Filed under: uncultured bacterium
Lineage: Bacteria
Description: bacterial SSU rRNA
Rfam family: Bacterial small subunit ribosomal RNA
Source: RNAcentral